UACACAUGCAGUCGAACGGUAACAGGGAGCAGCUUGCUGCUUCGCUGACGAGUGGCGGACGGGUGAGUAAUGUCUGGGAAACUGCCUGAUGGAGGGGGAUAACUACUGGAAACGGUAGCUAAUACCGCAUAACGUCUUCGGACCAAAGUGGGGGACCUUCGGGCCUCAUGCCAUCAGAUGUGCCCAGAUGGGAUUAGCUAGUAGGUGGGGUAACGGCUCACCUAGGCGACGAUCCCUAGCUGGUCUGAGAGGAUGACCAGCCACACUGGAACUGAGACACGGUCCAGACUCCUACGGGAGGCAGCAGUGGGGAAUAUUGCACAAUGGGCGCAAGCCUGAUGCAGCCAUGCCGCGUGUAUGAAGAAGGCCUUCGGGUUGUAAAGUACUUUCAGCGGGGAGGAAGGUGUUGUGGUUAAUAACCACAGCAAUUGACGUUACCCGCAGAAGAAGCACCGGCUAACUCCGUGCCAGCAGCCGCGGUAAUACGGAGGGUGCAAGCGUUAAUCGGAAUUACUGGGCGUAAAGCGCACGCAGGCGGUCUGUUAAGUCAGAUGUGAAAUCCCCGGGCUCAACCUGGGAACUGCAUUUGAAACUGGCAGGCUUGAGUCUCGUAGAGGGGGGUAGAAUUCCAGGUGUAGCGGUGAAAUGCGUAGAGAUCUGGAGGAAUACCGGUGGCGAAGGCGGCCCCCUGGACGAAGACUGACGCUCAGGUGCGAAAGCGUGGGGAGCAAACAGGAUUAGAUAC
Molecule: ribosomal RNA, 745 nt
Filed under: Cronobacter sakazakii
Lineage: Bacteria; Pseudomonadati; Pseudomonadota; Gammaproteobacteria; Enterobacterales; Enterobacteriaceae
Description: bacterial SSU rRNA
Rfam family: Bacterial small subunit ribosomal RNA
Source: RNAcentral